Long non-coding RNA from Sinocyclocheilus rhinocerous, 452 nucleotides. RefSeq lists it as uncharacterized. NCBI's taxonomy places the organism in Eukaryota, Metazoa, Chordata, Actinopteri, Cypriniformes, Cyprinidae. The transcript is spliced from 5 exons. The record is from RefSeq and is a predicted model, not a curated record.
ACUUUUUGAAACGUGAACAUCUUUGGUGAAUCUUCUUUCAUCGGAGGGACAUAAAUCUCUCAGAUUUUUAUUAAAAUAUCUCAGCUUUUCUUUUGAAGAUGAACGAAAGUCUUAGAUGGUUUGGAGCAUCUUAAGGCUUCUGCAAGCGUGUAUGGCGUCUGGCUUUUGGAACCUCACUGUGACUUCAGAUAAGAACAAAGAUUAAAUUGUAAGAAGGGUUGCUUAUAUGAGAGCAUACAGUACAUCUGAAACUGCUGAGGCUGGGAAGGUUUUUGACUAUAUUACCGACCAGAUCAGCUGCUAUAGAAGACAAACUGAAAUCUGAGUGCAGAGACAAGCAAAGGAAUACUGCAAGGCUCUGGUGCAAAAUAUUGUAUGCCAGGAGUCAGGACGACUAGGCUGUGCCCAGGUCUCCAGAACCUGCGACGACGCUCAGCUCCAUCAGCCCUCCA